RNAcentral lists this ribosomal RNA (205 nucleotides) under Simplicispira hankyongi. Its description in RNAcentral is "partial 16S ribosomal RNA". It matches the Rfam family "Bacterial small subunit ribosomal RNA", at positions 434 to 633 of the family's 1533-position model. Lineage: Bacteria; Pseudomonadati; Pseudomonadota; Betaproteobacteria; Burkholderiales; Comamonadaceae. The record is from RNAcentral.
UUGUACGGAACGAAAAGGUCUUUUCUAAUAAAGAAGGCUCAUGACGGUACCGUAAGAAUAAGCACCGGCUAACUACGUGCCAGCAGCCGCGGUAAUACGUAGGGUGCGAGCGUUAAUCGGAAUUACUGGGCGUAAAGCGUGCGCAGGCGGUUAUAUAAGACAGUUGUGAAAUCCCCGGGCUCAACCUGGGAACUGCAUCUGUGAC